CGUGUUAGCUUAGGUCCUUCCUUCAGCAACUCCUUCAGCAUGUAGGAAGGUCCUAAAUCUCGAGUCCAUUGUUCGUGUCAGCUCAAAUUUCAACGACCACAAUGAAACAACUACACAAGCUAGCAAGCGGUAACCACCACCGGCGAGACGACGAGAUCCCCACUUCCCAAUCAUCUCCCUACUCUCCAAAAACGCUAAAACAGCCCAGAUCUCUCCCUCGAUCCAUCCAACUACCUCUUCAGAGAACAGCGUCUCCUCUUCAUUAUCGUCGGAAUCAUCAUUGGCUCCACCUUCUUCAUCCUCCAGCCCUCGCUCUCCCGCCUCGGCCCCUCCGACCCCCAUUCCUCUCCCUCCUUAUCCUUCCCCCGCAACUCCCAUCAUUCUUCCUCCAACUUCUUCCGCAAACCUUCCUUCUCCGGUCGUGUCCCGGCGGGUAUUGGUCACCGUAGAUUGCGAAUUGUUGUUACUGGUGGGGCUGGGUUUGUUGGGAGCCAUCUGGUCGAUAAGUUGAUUUCACGCGGCGAUGAGGUUAUUGUGAUCGAUAAUUUUUUCACUGGGAGGAAGGAGAAUUUGGUUCAUCUGUUUGGGAAUCCGAGAUUUGAGCUGAUUCGUCACGAUGUGGUGGAGCCUGUAUUGUUGGAAGUCGAUCAGAUCUAUCACUUGGCUUGCCCGGCAUCUCCUGUUCAUUAUAAGUAUAAUCCAGUCAAGACUAUAAAGACGAAUGUGAUGGGUACGCUUAACAUGUUGGGUUUGGCGAAGAGGGUUGGAGCGAGGUUUCUGCUCACCAGCACAAGUGAAGUCUAUGGAGAUCCGCUCGAGCAUCCGCAGAAGGAGACUUAUUGGGGAAAUGUAAAUCCAAUAGGUGAGAGGAGUUGCUAUGAUGAAGGAAAACGGACAGCAGAAACCUUGGCUAUGGAUUACCACCGAGGUGCAGGCGUUGAGGUCCGCAUUGCACGCAUUUUUAAUACUUAUGGACCUCGUAUGUGUUUGGAUGAUGGUCGUGUUGUCGGCAAUUUUGUUGCUCAAGCCAUCCGCAAACAACCAUUGACUGUUUAUGGUGAUGGGAAACAAACCAGGAGCUUCCAGUAUGUUUCUGACUUGGUUGAUGGACUGGUGGCACUAAUGGAAGGCGAGCAUGUGGGGCCUUUCAAUCUUGGCAACCCAGGGGAAUUCACUAUGCUGGAACUUGCUGAGGUUGUCAAAGAAACAAUUGAUUCAAGUGCAACAAUAGAAUUUAGGCCAAAUACUGCUGAUGAUCCACACAAGAGGAAACCAGAUAUCAGCAAAGCAAAGGAGCUGCUGAACUGGGAGCCAAAAAUUUCUUUGAGAGAUGG
Molecule: unclassified non-coding RNA, 1334 nt
Filed under: Hevea brasiliensis (rubber tree)
Lineage: Eukaryota; Viridiplantae; Streptophyta; Magnoliopsida; Malpighiales; Euphorbiaceae
Source: RNAcentral